RNAcentral lists this ribosomal RNA (252 nucleotides) under uncultured bacterium. RNAcentral's name for it is "partial 16S ribosomal RNA". It matches the Rfam family "Bacterial small subunit ribosomal RNA", at positions 524 to 776 of the family's 1533-position model. The record is from RNAcentral.
UACGGAGGAUGCGAGCGUUAUCCGGAUUUAUUGGGUUUAAAGGGUGCGCAGGCGGCACGGCAAGCCGGCGGUCAAAUCGCGGGGCUCAACCCCGCCCAGCCGUCGGAACUGCCGGGCUAGAGUGGGCGAGAAGUGCGCGGAAUGCGUGGUGUAGCGGUGAAAUGCAUAGAUAUCACGCAGAACUCCGAUUGCGAAGGCGGCGCACCGGCGCCCUACUGACGCUCAGGCACGAAAGCGUGGGUAUCGAACAGG